CACGUACUCCCUCUGUUCGGAAUUACUUGUCACAUAAAUGGAUGUAUCUAGACGUAUUUUAGUUGUAGACAUAUCCAUUUUUAUCCACUUUUAAAACAAGUAAUUUGAAACGGAGGGAGUAGAAG
Non-coding RNA from Triticum aestivum (bread wheat), 125 nucleotides. The record is from Rfam. Lineage: Eukaryota; Viridiplantae; Streptophyta; Magnoliopsida; Poales; Poaceae.